CCGCAGGAGCGACCCAAGAAAUAGCAAAAAGGACAAAAAAAAAAAAAAAAAAAAAAAAAAAAAAAAAAAAAAAAAAAAAGAAAUGUUAGGCAUAGUGUUCAUUCACUUAAAGAAAGUUAUAUUUAAUGAGGAAUACACAUAGCUAAUUGUUUAACAGACUGUAGCAUCAGUGUUUGUGAGUGUAUGUUGAGCUGAGAAAAGCCUAGCAUUUUACUUUAUUUUGCUUUUUAGGGCCACACCUGCAGCAUAUGGCAGUUCCCAGGCUAGGGGUUGAAUUGGAGCUGUAGCUGCCGGCCUACAUAACAGCCACAGCAAUGCGGGAUCCCAGAGACGUCUGUGCCCUAUACCACCCCUCACGGUAAUGCUGGAUCCUUCCACCAAGCAGGGCCAGGGAUCAAACCCUCAUCCUUAUGGAUACUAGUUGGUUUCUUUUCCACUGUGCCACAAGGGGAAUUCCCAAGUCUAGCAUUUUAGCAAUGAAUAUAUGUAAAGAUCUUACCUUUUGCCUUUAAGUCAUUUUCUGAUAUUAGAUAUACAUAGAACUUUAUUACAAGCUAUAUGAAAGAAUUUAUAAGCCCAGCCCAACUAUAUUUCAGUGAAAAACUUAUAUGUGAAUCAUGCGUCUUGGGUUGUAUAACAGAGUUUUUCCCACACUAGAGUUAUAUAGAUGCCUCUUACAAGCUACAUGAAGGAAAUUUUUGGCACAUUCAUCAAUGAAAAAGUUAUAUACAUGAGAAAUGCAUGUGGUGAAUUAUUUAACAGACCUAUAACUUCAAAGUUUCCAUGCAUGCACUGUAGUUAUGAAAAGAAUAGUUUUCUAAUAAGGAAUACACAUAAAAAUCUUCUGUUUGCAGAUGAAGCUAUAUUUUCAGAUAUGAUAGAUUGUCAUUACAAGCCAUAUGAAAGAAAUUUUAGGCACAGUGUUCUUUCAGUGAAAGGAAAUUAUAUUCUGUGUCAUGCAUGUAGUAGACUUUAUAAUUUUGUAAUAACCUGUAGCUCUAAUGUUUAUAAGGCUACUUUGACUCUGCAUGAAGUCCAGUGUUCUAACAGCAAAUAGAUGUGAACACCUUUUGAGUCUGUGUAAUAAUGUACUAAAUUUGAUAUAUAUUGAUGUUUGUUACAAGCUAUGUGAAAAAAUUUUGGACAGUGUUCUUUCAGCUAAUGGAGGUGUCCUGCAGCGAGUCUUAUUUAACAAAUUUGUAACACUUGUAAGUAGGAUUGCUUAGAAGCUACAGUAUGUUCAGUGUUCUAAUAGCAAAUGGAUAUGGAAGUCUUUCCCAUUGUAUAUAAAGAUUUGUCACACACACACAUACAUGUAUAUAAAAAAUUAUAUAUAGAGUGUUAUAUGCAUACAUAUAGUGUAUAUAUAUGUGUAUGUGUGUGUAUAUAUAUAUGUUAUAUUAUUACAAGCUAAUGAAAGAAAUUUUUGACCUAUAUCACUACUUAGUUUCUAAGGCUACGUAGAAGCUGUGCUAAGCUCUGCGUUCUAACAGUGUAGGAAAUUGAAAUCCUUUCCCUUUAUCUGUAAAGGCUUGUUCGCAUGUUAAUAUACAUAUUUGUCAUGAAAUUAAUUUUUGGCAAAGUGUUUUUUCAGUGAAAGGAGGUUGUACACAGUGAUCCAUGUCAGUGAACAGUUUAACAGUUAUAGAACACUUGUGUUUCUAAAGCCUUCUUUAAAUUUUUUCUUUUUAGGGCCACACCUGCAGCACAUGGAGGUUCUCAGGCUAGGGGUCUAAUCAGAGCUAUUCCUGCCAGCCUACGCCAGAGCCACAGCAGAGCAGCAUCCGAGCUGCAUCUGCAACCUACACUACAGCUCACGGCAACACCAUAUCCUUAACCCACUGAAUGAGGCCAGGGAUUGAACCCACAACCUCACGGUUCCUAGUCGGAUUCGUUUCCACUGCACCACGAUGGAAACUCCUCUAAAGCCUUUUAAUUCAAAGAGGAACGUGAGAGUUUCUACUUCAUUUAAAUUAGCAAAGGGAAAAAACCCCACAACUCCUGGGCUAUGCUGUAAAUUAAAACGGGAUUUUACUAAAACAACAUUCAAAUCUAUCAUGUGCUAUUUACAAUAAUAAAUAAUAGUCUUUCAAAAUAGGUAAAGGAGUCUUGGGAAUGAGGCAUCAGGGAGAUGGUGCCAGCUCACAUCAAGUCCCUAUGCUGCCUCUCUGCCACAGUGAAUGUCGCAUUGUCACUGGACACACAUUUGCCCCUGAUUUUGAUGAGUGCCAAUUCUUCUUGGCCUUGAGUUUUCUGUUGCCCAGAUAGGACUUGGCCUCCAGCUAGCAGGACAAGAGGUAGGUAUAGGAGAGAGUGGUACCUGUGAGUUCCCAGGAGCCACAAUUCAGGUGUCACUCACAGUGUCUGCCCAGCAGCUGGAAUUCCAGUGAUGGCCAUGCAACAAGGUCUAGGGAUGACCAAGAAGAUGUGAACUUGGGUUCUCUAAAUUGGCUGGUAGGGAGAGUCCACUCCACCUCUCCCUUCUGCUCAGCCUCACCUCCCAUUCUCACUGAACCACUCCAUGUCUCAGAAUCAGACAUCAAAUUGCUCCUCAGGCUCUCUAUCUGUAGCCACCCAGAGCAGCAUGAUCUCUGCCAUUACUGUGCAUUCCUGGGACCAGAGGGAAGGAGAUGAUGGAGGGGUGAGGAGAGAGGCAGGGCAUUGGUCCUGGGUCUUUGCACACACGAGACUCCACCUUCCCUCCAUUUGCAUCAAGGUCCUACCUGUUCUCAGAAAUGGAAUAAAUUUCCUGCAGGAAAUUUUCCUUGGUGCCGUUCCUCAACCCACCCACCAGUUGGAUAGGUCUCCCACUCCUCUGUUAUUAAACUCUCCCUGUAAAUGUAAGGCACAGGGGAUGGAGACCUGGAGGUUUCUGCCCAGGGGUACUUCUGAUUUCUGUUCCCUUCCCCUCUUCCAUAGGAAGUGCCAAGCUCUUGCCUUAUUCUUUUUCUGGUGGUUGAUCUCAUUCUCUAAGGUAGACAGACACCUGAAAGGGUCCCCUAGUCGUUACUAGCACCCUAUGCCCACCCUUUUCAUGUGGCACUACCAUCAGGCCUCACAAAGGGGCUGGGCUUGCCUAGAAAACGGGAUGUAAACCUUGGUCAGGUCGUGGCCCCCAAGAGCGUGGGACAUGGAGGCCGAGGCUCAGGGAUCUUGUAGCACAACCCUCAGUGACGACACUCAGAACCUGAGGCUUUAGGCUCCCUCUCUUCUUUGUUGCUGGACUUGUGGGUCCCCCAUAUCACUCUCACCCCAUGGACACCACCUGAAGGAGAGGCUAAGUCCAGCUUUGCGGUCAGGCAGAUCUACUGCUCUGCCAGCCUUGAAAACUGGGACCAGUGUGUAUUCUGUGGAGCCUCCUUUCACUCAUCUUUAAAAUGGACAUGAUGUCCCAGCUCACAGGGGUGGUGGGGAGCCUCUCCUCAGAGGUUUCCUGAGUGCUGACCAUUGAGGGCUCAGCUACAGGUCUCUCUCUUCCCAAACCUCAAUUCUGAUCCCCCUGGCCUAGCCCACAGGCCCCCUUACCUGGCCCAGAUAAUUCUCCCUCACCGGGCCCAGCAUGACCUGAUUAAUGAAGAUUGUGCUAAGGAAGGGGACAGACACCUGUGUCAUCAGGGAGGGGGGUGGGAUGAGCCUCUACUCCCAGAUUUGCCUGGGUCCCCUCUCUUGAAAACUCCUCACCCUCAGCUCCUGGCCUUGCCCCAGGUUUUCCUCAAGGAGCAGCCUAGGAGGAGCCUUAAUAAUCUCCUUUCAAUUUCCCUCCCCCCACUCUCCAAGAAUAUAAGACUCCUGUGCAGACCUUCUGUAGCAUCUUCUGGGCUUAAUGGAGGUUCACCAUCAAGGGGCGAACAUGGAGGGCUGCUCCUGUCAGGGCCGAGGACAGGGUCAUUGAGGCCAUACUACCCCCACCAACCUCCCAUUUUUGUCCAGUACCUGAGACCUCAGACCCUGACAUCUGAUCCAUGUUAGCUGAUACUCCAUUCUCCAGCAUGCUCUGAUUCUAGACUAAUCCCACCUCCAAAACUCACUCAGUGUGUGCUUUUGGCCCUGCAGCCUGCCCCUGCCCCCCAUGAGCCUGUUUCUUCAUCUGAAAAGUGUAGGAAUCCCAGCUACCACAAGGGUCUCCUGAAGACUCCACCCUUCGCACUGUGAUGCUGUCAUCAUUGUUCUUGUAUCAGCCUGCAGCUGUAUCGGGACAGAAAGAACCUCACAUUCCUGUCUUCCCUUUUACCUCAUCGCCACCCUGUGAGGCCCGCACCAGAGGCUUAUUAUCCCUCCGCUUUCCAGAUGAGGAGGCAGAGGCCAAAGAGAUGCAGUGAGGCUUAGGGGUCCACAGAGGACAGGCUGCACCUCCUGUUAGCCAGAGGCCCUGUUCCAGCUUCCCUCAUCCACCCCAGUCCCACCUGGAAUGAGAUGUCCUGUCCACUUGACUCUCAAGUUUGUCCAGGCCCCUAUCUGAGUGGAGCUGUGGAUGGAGAGGGAUGGGGUGGUUGGAAGUCUGGUUUUAGUUCCCUGCCUGCCCCAGAUCCGCUGGAGCCUCUGCCACUCAGGCUGGAACCAAAGCCAUGCUGAUGCCUUCCCUGCCCCAGGAUCAGCUUAUAACAUUCCCCUGUAUAGCAGUUUCUUUUUAUCUACUCAGUAACAUAACCCCUGAGGUACCGCCUCUGACUGAUGGGGUAGGAGGUGACAGAAACUUUGCUUGCUCCUUUACGUGAAGCUUCUAAAGUCCUUUCAGGAAAGGUCCACUAAGAAUUCAUAAGAUGCUCAGACACUUCUCAUCAGCCACCUGGGGCAUGUGUCACAGUUAACUAGGCACCCAGGUGAGAAUCCCGACUGUGACUGACUAGCAGCAACUGUGUGCGGGGCACAGUGGGGAGUCACAGACGGCAUGUAUAUCUUGUCUCUAUUCCAGCCAUUUGUACCCAAGGCUGGGCAGUGCAUCAUACACCUGGCCCAUGGGCUUCCCCUGCAGUACCCAUCCUUGGGGCAAGAAGGAUGCACUACCCUUGGAGGUGUGGUGAGUACAGAGGAGCUGCAGGAACCUGGGUUCCUGAGAACAGACUGGGUUGGUUUAGGGAAGAAAGUUGCCUCCUCCCACCCAUCCAUUCAACAGCCUAGAAAAAGCUAAGUGCCAGCAGGAUGGACCAGCAUGGAAGCCAAAGAUCUGCUAAUUUUGUUAUCUCAGCAUCCCCUCCUAGAAUAGCCCAGCCAUCACUUUACCUCAUUACUAAGAUCUCCUGCCCUUCAACCUGACUUUGGACAAAACUCUCCUUCUUCCUCUUAAGCCAGAAAAUACUGGAAUUUUUCAAAGAAUCUUUAGGCAAG
This 5325-nucleotide long non-coding RNA is filed under the name Sus scrofa (pig). Its description in RNAcentral is "lncRNA (ENSSSCG00005002192.1)". Lineage: Eukaryota; Metazoa; Chordata; Mammalia; Artiodactyla; Suidae. The record is from RNAcentral.